Molecule: long non-coding RNA, 2515 nt
Organism: Vulpes vulpes (red fox)
Lineage: Eukaryota; Metazoa; Chordata; Mammalia; Carnivora; Canidae
Source: Ensembl
UCAUCCUCAGCAACAGAGCCAAUUUUGUCUUUAUAGGGCAACCACUUUCCUAAGCAUAAAGCUGUAUGAACCUAUGGUUCCUGACUCAGAGUUAUUUUCUAUGUGUCUCCCAAGUCCAAGUUCUUUUUUUUUUUUUUUUAACCAUUACACACAACUAUUAGGAAGAAAUGAAAAGAGAACUAUGCUUGCUGAGAAAAUGGAAACAGUUUAAUACUGAGUGGGUGAUUCUCCCACUGGAGGGCUCCCAUCAGCUGCUAAAUUUUAGGGAAACUGUGCAAGACAGGUUUUUCAUAAUUUUUGCAUGCUUUCUACUGGGUCUAUUAGUCACUGUGAUCCAGAUGUGUACUCGAGAUUUAUAGUUGUUUACUUGGGAAGCAAAAUCUCAUAGGAAACAGGAAAGGGAUUUUUCAUUUAAAGAAUAAAUAUUUGUGUUCUAGAUGAAGAAGAAAGUGCCUUCCUGAGCUGAAUUUCUGCUGCUGGGUAGUUAACAGUCUGGUACAUAAUAAUACCACACAUUCAUUGACCGAGGGAUGGGCUCUGUGCUAACACAGUCUAAGCAUCACUCUUCUUCUUAAUCCUUACAAACCUUGUGAAGUAGGUGCUGUUCAGGGCUGCAUGUUUGCAGACGAAGAAGUAGGCUCAGAAAGACAAGAUGGGUUCGCUGAGAUUCUUCGGGUAGUUGAAAGGCAGAGCCAGGAUCUGAGCCCAGGCUGUGUAAUUCCAAGGCCACAUUUUUGGGCACCAUCCUAUCCUAUUUUGCUUGUAGCUUAUCCGAAACAACCUAAUUUCAAUCUGAUUUCUUUUUUUUUUUUUUUUUUCCCCAAACAGGACUACAUACUUGUAAUUCUGUCCAUGGAAGUAGGCCUCAGUUUCUGUGUUCAGAUGCGUCUCCGUGCUUCUCUUCACCAGGCAGCAGAGAACUUCUUCUGGUCCUGGAGUGUCUGCCUUGGGGAGGUAACGUGAUGCUUUGCUACAGGGACUUGGAUGAAGGGGAUGUCAGUGUAGACAGGUGACUUAGGAUAGGUUUCAUAGAAGCUGGAGUUGAGUUGGACCUUGAAGGACGUGCAGGUUCAAAGGAAGGACUGGUAAGGAAGGGGAGUGGGGUGGAUGGAGUGUAUCAUGUAGAGGGAAAAAAAAGUCAGAUGAGCCAAGAUUAAGUGUUGGAAUCGAGCCUCUCAGUAUAGACCAGGAAGCCUGAUAGGAGCACAAGGUAAUAUGUCUAUAUGCAGUGGGGGUAGGGACACAGGUUAAAUGGAUGAGGAAAUGAAAUUAAUGGAGGAUGUUAUGGAGCUGGCAGGAUUCCAAUGGCAAUAUUUUAGUGUGGGUUGUCUUUACAAACCAUCAAUGCCACACCUCACAUCUCACAGGUGAGGCAAUGGAAAUUCAGGGUGGCAAGGCAACUUUCUCAGGGUCUCAGAGAGUAUCAGGGGCGCACAAGUCAUUCAGUGCCUGCUCCCUGAUACAUUCCUGCCCUGUCCUUGGUCUGAUCAUAAACAUGAAGCCAUUGGAGGCUAGGAAGAAAAGAAGCUCUGCCAUGAUAGAAUUUUACUUUGCUGGAUGUACUGAACAGGGAAAAAAUAGGAAAUCAGAAGGGGAUCUAUCAUUAUAUUAAAAGUUUGAGGUAUAUAGCAUGGACUUGGGCUGCUGGGAAGGGGACAAAGUACAUAAUCAAAUACAUUAAAGGAGAAGUUUGCAGGACUCUGUAUAGGCCCAGAGAUAGGGAACGCAGGUUGAUUGCAAGCUGCAAAUUUUGGGUUCUUGUAGCGUAGGGACAUGGGGUAAGAUGAGAAUAUUAUGAGUUUGAGUCUGGAAAUGUUUGGUGAACAGACUUGGUGGUAGACACCCAGAAAUAGUCACCCAUUUAUUCAUCCAAUGAACAUUUAUUGAAUACUUGCUCUGAGUUACGGGGGGGUAUGUACUAGGGAUACACUGGCAAACGGGCAUGAUAUACAGGGAUGGGGACCUCCUAGAGUUUUGUUCUGGUGUUUCCUAGAGGAGACACAUGGCCAGAGGUGAGAGGCACACUCGUGGAGCCAUCAGCAGCUGUGGUGCUUGGUGAGUGAUCUCUCAUGGGCACUGAGUGCAGAGGGAACUGCACAUAACUGAGGACAGACCCUGAGGACCGCCGAUGGAGGCAAGAAAGAAGCCAUCAUUACCGCUAGAUUAUGAGUUUUAAACGAAUUGUCCUAAGAGUUUAAAAACCAUUUUACUGCUCAUUCCUUUUUAUUUAAAUCAAGUAUUGGAGCUCCUCUCCACCAAAUAAUUCUUUCGCAUUCAACUGAAUAGAGCAAAUGAUUAAAUGGGCUGUCAGUGGGCCGAAUGUGUCCACUGACCCAAGAUAAAAGGUGACAGACUCUAAUUAUAUUUUAAAAAUUCCCCUGGCCCACUGAGGUGGCGCCAGCACCUUUUGUUGGUUUAAUUUGCCAGGAUUCUUCAAGCUAGGCCCUCGCUCCGCUCCGCUAGGUGGUGUUAAGUGCUAAAUAAACCCUCUCUCCCUUUUUGUUUUUUCUUCCUA